UAUCUCCUCUGCCAUGUGGACCCAUAGGUAUGGAAGAAUGAAAGGCAUUUGGCAGCUGGAGUUUGGAGGAGCUCUCAACAGGAAACCACACAAGGACAGCUUGGAAUGGAAGGAUCCUAGCUUUGUGCUCUGGGAGAACCCAGUCCCCCAGCGCUCAUCCUGUCACAUGACUGUGUGUAGGUGUGUCCUGAUCAUCUCUAUUAAAUAAGGCUUUCAUGUGACGCAUCAGUGAGUAUCAUGGCUGGUGUGUGUAGCGUUCGUAUCCUGUCACAUGGCUGCUUGGAGGUGUGUCCUGAUCAUCCCUAUUAAAUUUAAGGUAUAUAUUGUUAACUAAGCUUGGGUAAAAUAUAUUAAGCUAUAUAGGUACCGUAUAGCGGGUAUAUUUCGAAACUUUCGCGGAUUUAAUUUUCGUGGAAUAGCAGUAUGCAUGCAUGCGAUAUUAAAUUCGUGGGUAUAAAUGUUCGCGGUACAUGCUUAAUCAGCGAAAACCGCGAACAUUUAUACCCUCGAAAUAUACACGCUAUACGCCAUAACGGUACAUGACAUAUAUGUAUAUACAUGUACAAAUAUGGACCUUUAUAUUUUAACUACCGUAUAUCGUUCCUAUUAAUUUGAUAGCCGAGUGAAACAGAUUAAUGUAUAGAAACUUGGUUGCCCAUGCAUCUAUUCUUGACCAGCAGCCAGUAUCCGUAUCUACUAUAGUAGACUGGCCACUCCCCACAUAAUUUAUGUAGUGUCCGUGUUAGGUUGACUUAGUGUGAACAAAAUGUAUAGAUUGUGUAUACCGUAUAGCGCAAAAUUUUCGAGGGGCUUAAUUUUCACUGCUUUUGUGGGUUAGCAAUCCUACAUGAAAAUUAAGUCCACCGACGAAAAUAGUUCUUUAAUUAGAAUUAUCUGCUAUAACGUGCAA
Halichondria panicea is the source of this 910-nucleotide long non-coding RNA. RefSeq lists it as uncharacterized. The record is from RefSeq and is a predicted model, not a curated record. The transcript has 4 exons. Lineage: Eukaryota; Metazoa; Porifera; Demospongiae; Suberitida; Halichondriidae.